Molecule: ribosomal RNA, 368 nt
Filed under: uncultured microorganism
Description: bacterial SSU rRNA
Rfam family: Archaeal small subunit ribosomal RNA
Source: RNAcentral
GCGCAGCAGGCGCGAAAACUUCACACUGUGCGAAAGCACGAUGAGGGAAUCCCAAGUGCUUGCACGUAAGUGUAAGCUGUUUCUCUGUCUAAAACGCAGAGAGAGUAAGGGCUGGGUAAGACGGGUGCCAGCCGCCGCGGUAAUACCUGCAGCUCAAGUGGUGACCGUUAUUAUUGGGCCUAAAACGUCCGUAGCCGGUUUAAUAAAUGCCUGGGUAAAUUGUGUAGCUUAACUAUACGAAUUCCGGGUAGACUGUUAAACUUGAGACCGGGAGAAGUUAGAGGUACUCCUGGGGUAGAGGUGAAAUUCUGUAAUCCUAGGGGGACACCAGUGGCGAAGGCGUCUAACUAGAACGGGUACGUGACGGU